Oncorhynchus keta (chum salmon) is the source of this 151-nucleotide long non-coding RNA. RefSeq lists it as uncharacterized. The transcript is spliced from 3 exons. The record is from RefSeq and is a predicted model, not a curated record. Lineage: Eukaryota; Metazoa; Chordata; Actinopteri; Salmoniformes; Salmonidae.
GUCAGGUUAGUCAGGUAGUCAGGUAGUCAGGUAGUCAGGUAGUCAGGUUAGUCAGGUUAGUCAGGUAGUCAGGUAGUCAGGUAGUCAGGUUAGUCAGGUAGUCAGGUUAGUCAGGUAGUCAGGUAGUCAGGUUAGUCAGGUAGUCAGGUAG